RNAcentral lists this ribosomal RNA (253 nucleotides) under uncultured bacterium. RNAcentral describes it as "partial 16S ribosomal RNA". It matches the Rfam family "Bacterial small subunit ribosomal RNA", at positions 524 to 776 of the family's 1533-position model. The record is from RNAcentral.
UACGUAGGGGGCAAGCGUUGUCCGGAAUCAUUGGGCGUAAAGAGCGUGUAGGCGGCCAGAUAAGUCCGCUGUGAAAUCUCGAGGCUCAACUUCGAGCUGUCGGUGGAGACUGUCUGGCUAGAGUCCGGAAGAGGAGAAUGGAAUUCCUGGUGUAGCGGUGAAAUGCGCAGAUAUCAGGAAGAACACCCGUGGCGAAGGCGGUUCUCUGGGCCUUACCUGACGCUGAGGAGCGAAAGCGUGGGGAGCGAACAGG